This 442-nucleotide ribosomal RNA is filed under the name uncultured bacterium. RNAcentral's name for it is "partial 16S ribosomal RNA". It matches the Rfam family "Bacterial small subunit ribosomal RNA", at positions 338 to 795 of the family's 1533-position model. The record is from RNAcentral.
CCUACGUGAGGCAGCAGUGGGGAAUAUUGGGCAAUGGGCGCAAGCCUGACCCAGCAACGCCGCGUGAAGGAAGAAGGCUUUCGGGUUGUAAACUUCUUUUAAGAGGGACGAGCAGAAGACGGUACCUCUUGAAUAAGCCACGGCUACCUACGUGCCAGCAGCCGCGGUAAUACGUAGGUGGCAAGCGUUGUCCGGAGUGACGGGGUGUAAAGGGCGUGUAGCCGGGCUGACAAGUCAGAUGUGAAAUCCCGUGGCUCAACCACGGAACUGCAUUUGAAACUGGCGGUCUUGAGUAUCGGAGAGGCAGGCGGAAUUCCUAGUGUAGCGGUGAAAUGCGUAGAUAUUAGGAGGAACACCAGUGGCGAAGGCGGCCUGCUGGACGACAACUGACGGUGAGGCGCGAAAGCGUGGGGAGCAAACAGGAUUAGAUACCCGAGUAGUC